GAAAGGAGGAAAGGGUAGUGAGUCGAUGAUAGCGCUCUUCAGACACCAACCACACGAUGUUCGUGAUAUCGGAAUAAGAAUCUGUGGACGUGGACUCGGCUCUCAAUGAAAUUGCGAAACCUGGAACGCUUUUAUGUUGAUUAAAACCCUUAAAGGAACAAUGGAUUGUUGUUUACGCUCCGCAUAGUCCUCCAGAGCGGGUUUCCGAGAUCGCGGUAACCUCCGGCAUAGCAGCAACGUCGUCGAUCAAGCGGAUCAUCAAUCGCGAAUGAUGCUUCUCAGAGGGUCCUCGACGGGUUCCGUUUACACGUCAGGAACAUUGAAGGAGUGUCUGCUCUUCACGUCCAUCAGUAACCUGACAGAUUCCAUCGGAUCAAAGGACAGACCAACACACACGUGAUCCCGUUCCAUGGAUUCAGUUUGUUCUGGAAUCGACCGAUCUCUCCCUUUCGCUCCGAAAUUCCAAGAGCCACCAGUUACUGCGGCAUUCCCCUUUGAUUGGCUACGCACACGAUAAGAUGACUCGAUAUAUGUCAAGGGUGAAAUAAAGAAGAAAUCUAAAGAUCGGCGUUUACGAUUGAUUCGAAUUGCUUCCAUUGUGCAGUAGAUUUUGCGGAACUGACACAAUUACAAUCUACGCGUUCAAGUAUUCACUCGUUCAGAAUUUAUGCGCUCAGUAUCUACGCGCAGAAUUUACAUGCACAGGGUUCACACGCGCAGGAUCCACGCUCGUAGGACUCACGCGGUUAAAAUUCACGUACGCAACAGCAUCCAUAUGUUCAAAAUUUGUGUAAGCAAAAUUCGCUCGCGUAGAAUCCAUGCAUGCAGAAUCCGUGCUUUUAAAAUCUACGUAUGCAGAAUUUGCGCGUGCAAAGGAUGAUUAUCACGAGAGUACGCGUCAUCGAAAUUCGUGCCAUCUCUAUUCUCCGUAAAGUAUUCUCAAAUUCGAAAUCGCGAUAAAUAAUCGUAAUUCGAACGAAAUGACCGAACACUCGAAUAACGUAGAUAACUUGCGCUCGGAGAAAUAUGAAUUUACUUUCUUGACUAGGUAAUCUGCGUGGUUGUGGCGCUGCAUUUGUUUGUCUCGAUGACACGCAGUUUGAUUUGAUACGCGCAGCAACAGGUUACAGACCUAAUCGGCUCGUUCGAUUAUGUCGAAUAUAGCAGGAUACGUUUACUGGGGGAUGAUCUUCGUCAUCGUUGAUCAUUUUG
This is a long non-coding RNA of Bombus impatiens (common eastern bumble bee), 1212 nucleotides long. RefSeq lists it as uncharacterized. NCBI's taxonomy places the organism in Eukaryota, Metazoa, Arthropoda, Insecta, Hymenoptera, Apidae. The transcript is spliced from 2 exons. The record is from RefSeq and is a predicted model, not a curated record.